AAAGAAAGAAAGAAUCUAAUAUUAAUAACAUGCAUGGACCUCUGUGCCCGAAUCUUUUAUAAAUUACAUCUAUGAACUUGGUUAAACCUCACAGGGACAUUCCUUACCUGUGAGGUGAGGUGGCCUGCCUGCCUCAGGUCACUUAGCUAGAGGUGGUGAACCAGAAAGCAGAUGUAGUCUCCUCCGCUUAACCCCUCUCUCUGUAUAACCCGAGUACCCGGUAAUGCUAGGCCCUUUGUCUACACUAUCUCAUCGACUCAUCACCACCCCCAUUUUAUGGAUGAGGAAACCGAGGCUCAGUGCUGUUAAGUGACCUGCCCAAGUCCUAAGAUUCAAGAAGAACUGGAGUCAGGAUCUGACUGGAGCUGUCCAUCUCCAAAGCUGGAUCUCAGAAUCUCUGCUCUAUCCCUUGCCAAAAUAUGCCCUUUACACUGCAAUGCAUGGAAUGAAGAGCCUUCUUGGGGACAGACCCCAGAGGCUGCACAAUCCAGUACAGAAAGGGGCUCCUGAUGGCCACUUAGAGCCCUGUCCUGAGCAGCUGAAAACCCUUCCUCCUCAACCCCCCACUGUGGUGUGUCAUUGAGGCAUUAGACAGAGGGGGACGCCGAGGCCCAGGGGGACUAAGUCACUUGCACAAAGACACGUGCAUGUGUCUGCUUGAGGGGCAGUGUCAGAAUCUGAAAACAAGCUUUGUGCUGAGGGCCCAGGCCUAGGCAGUGGUGGCUUUGAUGGCACAGAACCUGAGAGCAGUGUCCAGGACAACGGGUGUGGGAGCCCCGUUUCCAUUUCUGCACCAUCCCCAUGUUACCCCAGGCUUCUCACCCGCCCCUCCACUUCUCCCUUCUCCUUCAGAAAUGUAGAGAAACUGCCACCCACCUUCUUCCCAGGAAUUUUGCAAAGAUUAAUUGGAUAAUUUCAGAAUAGCUCUUUGAGCGGCUUGAAGGAAAGGUGCCAUCUAGAAGAAUAAAGUAAAAUAACAAUAAUAAUUAUUCCAUUUAAAUGUAUUUAUGAAAAGCUCCACAGGAGCAAUUAAGAAGAUGCCGGCUUGUACUUGCGGAAAAUGCACAAGUUGAUGAAGUGCCCGUGUGCCUGCGAGGCCACCGGGUUGCUAUGGUGGUGUGAUAGGGUUGUGGUCCCAGAUCUGGACAGGGGAACGGGUGGGGGUGGGGAUGGGAGCUUCUGAGCUGGAACCACCCAGUCUUCUGGGCAAAAAUAACUUGCCUGUCCAUCUCAGGCCCCACAGGAAACGGCACUUGGCCUGACCCCAGGCUGGUUGCUGCAAAGUGCUCACACAGCUUUUCUAGAAAACUACAUUCCCUUGUCACCCACAAAAAAGAACUUACUUUCAGGGGCCUUGGCAUCUGUCUUCUUAUUAGUUACUGCCCGUUUACCACAGGGACAGCUGCGAGCCUCCACGGACUUGGUCACAUCUGCCUGUGGAACCUGUGUUUGUAUUUAGUGGUGGGCCUGGCAGAUAAUGAGGUUUUGAUGCCGCAGAGCUAUGGAGGCGAGUUUAUCCUUGGCUCUAAGGGGCCCUUGGCUGCUAACAUCUGGUGUGUUUCCCUGUCACCCUCUCUCCAUGCGGAGGGCCUGGGCUUGGUGGGCAAGAUGUUCUCUUUUACAACCGACUUGCCUUUGAUCUUCGAGACUGGCUUUCCCACUUAAACACCUGGCCGUGCUUAGCCCCGGCACAGCUCCACGCUUCUGCCCAGCAUUUCUUUUCUUUUUAGACACAGAUGGCCCCCACGCUGUGCGCACCCGCAACCAUGGUCUGCGCAUCGUCCCAGAACAUUCGCCACCCCCACCCCCCACCCCUGGCCGAUUCAGACAGGAUAAACUCUUAGGCAGAACCAUCUCUUACAACGUCAUUUUCCUCUCCGUGCCACUCCCCCACCAACCCCUCUCCGCCAUGUGAGCAGAGGCUGGGGCCCCUUAAAGCAGGAUUUCAGGAACAGCAGUGUGCGUUAUGAACUGUCUGAGCAUCGGAUCAGAAGAGUGGUGCUGAUCCAUAAAUGCGGGGUGGGCCUCAGAUUCUGAUGCCUGAUGGGCUCACAGGUGAUGUAGAUGCUAUUGGUCCAUGAACCACAUGUUGUGUUGCAAAGUCUUAGAUUACUUCGGAAAUAAUCUCCCCUCUGGCCCUCCCACCAGUAACAUUCCUGUCUCUUCUCCUUUCUCUUAACAGAACUUAACCACUUGAUGUUCUAAUUCUAUAGAAGUACCCUCUCUUCCCCUGUCUUGUGCCCUGCCCCCCUUGCCGUGGCUGUGACUGUUUCAUACUCAAGUGAUAAUAGCUGAUAGAUAAGCAGAGUAUAGGAUUUAUGCUGUGAUGACCACAUGAGAAUCACAUUUCCAGUUGGUGAGCUGUUACUGUUUUUAAUAUGUCCUGACAAUAUUCUCUGUUGGUAAGAAUUUUUAAAGAAAUCCUUUUGCGGACCAUGUAAAAUCUUUUUAUUCAUUUUCUCCCUCCACCUGUAAAAACACAGAGGACCACUGAGGUACAACCCAGUACUCAGGGCACCCAGACAUUAGGAAUAGCACCCUGUCCACCUGUGGUUAAGGCUUAGUUUGUGCCCACUGAACUCCAUUCCAUAGCUGAGACCAGUCUGUUCUGCUCAGGCUGGAGAAAAGCAACUUCCAUGUAGUAAGUCUGAUAACAUGAUUAAAAUAUUGUCUCUACAACUGGAUGCAGGCUGGCCUUUUUAACAGAUCCUCAAGGAUGUUGUUCGAAAUGAGCAUGGACAUUUGAAAUCUAGCUGCGGCAAUGGUGCUUUCUAGGAGGAAAUCUUUUUGCUGCCAUCGUUAAAUGAACUCUUUCCAUUGAUGCGUUGUGGUCAACAGACGUUGAGUUGAGAGUUUGAGUCAGUGAGAUUCAUUCCCUGGUUCCAUGGUUUUCCCUGUAUUAGUGAAACUUCUUUACUAGCUUUCCGUAUCUGUGUGGAAGGCAUAACUAUCCUGAUCAUUUAUGGGUGGUGUAUCAUAUGAUAGGCUCUGUAGACGUCACCUCUGGUCUUAGAACAGCCCUAGAAAGUGAUGUAAUGGCUGGUACAGCAUGGACACCAUCAGUGAGAGCAAACCAGCCUUUAUCGCGGGACAGGCCCUAGAAGCUCUGCUGUGCCCACAUGUCCCUUUAGUUCCUGGAUUGCACGGUGGCUCACGAUGGAUGAGCAGGUUCCUGGGAGGGGCUGGUUCCUCUAGAACAGUGGGAGGGUGCAGGCUCUGGAGCCUUAAGGCACUGGACCUGACCAUCUGGUGUGAAAGGACUUUGGUAUUAAACUGGUCCAUCCCCACAUGGCCAAUGAGAAUCCUGAACAUUCAAUGAGGUCCAUGGCCCAGGACCACACAGCCAGUGAGUGAUGCAGGAGUGUCUCACUCUGGAGCCCGUGACCUCACCCACUGAGCAGCCCUCCUUGAUAUGACGCAAGAUAAUGUGGGUGACAGUGGCUGCUGCCGUCUCAGGCAAAUGGUAGGCAGGCACUCAGUAAAUCUUAGUUUCUUUGCCCUUUGUUGACCCGGGGCCCCGUGCCUGGCUCUCUGGGGAAUCCAGAGCUGGGCUCUUAUUGGGGACUGGGGUGGGUGGAUGAAGCUCCCUGCUUUGACCUCUUCAUUACCCAGUGGGGCCUGGUGGGUGACUCAUGGGUUCCCAUUCUCCCAGCUGCACAGCCGUGCACGGGAGGUUUCUAGCUACAGGUUGGUGAAUCGUUCCAGGGCAGGAUGUUUACAGCCCCUGGAGGAAUGGGCACAGAAUCAAGCCAGCCCUCGCUUGGCAACCCCUGGCUGUUCUUUCCAGCCCAGGGCGCCCUGCCAAACCGACUCCGGAGAGGAAAACAGAACAAGUGCUGAUGUGCUUCCAUUUUAUAUAGAACAUAAUAAAAGUUUUCAGAAUGAUUUAUCACCCUAAACAAGAAAAUACAAUGGACGCCAUCCAUUAUUCAGCAUGCUAAUGAUAACCUUUGCUCUCUUGUCGAGGAUGAUCUAAGGUGGUGUUCAGUUGAAAUACAAAGAAUGCGCAGAGAACACACACACACACACACACACACACACACACACGUGCUGGAUCCCAUGGCAUUCCAUGCUGUGACAGUGAGGAAAUUAAUGGUAAAGAGAGGGGAUUUAAAACCAAGGGGCAAGGUAGGUUUCCACAGUCUCAACUUUCCAAGCAUCAUAAAAGCAGGUUUCUUUAAUUUUAGGUGAUUGACUUGGAAAUGUCCCCCACACAAAGUGAGUAUUGAGAACUCAUUGAAUGCUUUUUUGUGAUUUUUCUUUUUCCUUUUUUUUUCUUUCUUGUAAUUUUCAUAAAAUAUAUUUCUCCAAUGGACGUUAUUCAAGCCACAUGGAGAAGAAGGCCCAGGAUCGGAUCCUUUCUCAAGAUCCUCAUUCAUGGGUCAGUUGACACCUGUGUGUGGGGCAUGGGGGUUGUGGCCUGGCAUCCCACUGUCCCCUUUUUAGGGGAGAAACUGAGGGCUUUUCCUCUGAGAAUGGCAGUUAACUAGAAAAGAAGUUUUUUCGGGUUCUAAGCUAGUUUGGUAGAGGGGCAGACGCUUCCAUAUCUGAUGAAUGAGGACUUUUCCCCCAAGUCGAGAGUGAAUGGCAAUCCAAGUGAUUUCCACAUGUUUAGUGAUGCUCUGUGUACAUUAAAUGGAUGCCAAUAAAAUGAAAUCAGUGCAGAUAGCUGUUUGGAUUAGCACCAUAACUCAGGUAUUGGAAGCACCAGAUAUAAGUUCAUUUCUAUAUUUCCCUUUUAUUUUCAGCUUUUUAGCUGGUUUGUGGACCAAAGGAGCCUUCUUAUAGAGAGGAAUUUAGAGCUAUGCCCAGGAUGCCUGUUCCUCUCUUCCAGGAGAGGAUUAGAGAAAAUUUUUAAAAAUUAACAAAAGCAAAAGCUUUUGCUGAUUCCUUCAAGUGCCUUAUUGUCUAUGAAAAUGGAAGUAUCCCUAAAAAAUCUUAAUGCACUCAGCAGUUCCCCCAAAUUUCCUCCAUCAUGAUUUUUAGAUUUAUGAGUAAUAACAGAAGGCAGCAUUUCUCAGAUCUGAAUCACAGCAGAAUAGGCUGUACUUGGGAGCAGUUAGGACUUAGGCACAGCAGGUUGGCUGGGUGACCCAGACAGCUGGUCAACCUCAGCCAGGUUAUUAUUCCCUUGUGAGAAACAUUAUUGGUCAUUGUGAGUUUGGAAGAGAGCAACACAGGUAGAGUGUGUCGUGUGGUGCCCAGCCCAGAGGAAGCCUUCAAGAAAUCUUGCCCUUCUAUUACCUCCCC
This 5250-nucleotide long non-coding RNA is filed under the name Sus scrofa (pig). Its description in RNAcentral is "lncRNA (ENSSSCG00000063320.1)". Lineage: Eukaryota; Metazoa; Chordata; Mammalia; Artiodactyla; Suidae. The record is from RNAcentral.